Molecule: ribosomal RNA, 439 nt
Filed under: uncultured bacterium
Lineage: Bacteria
Description: partial 16S ribosomal RNA
Rfam family: Bacterial small subunit ribosomal RNA
Source: RNAcentral
CCUACGGGUGGCAGCAGUGGGGAAUAUUGCACAAUGGGCGAAAGCCUGAUGCAGCGACGCCGCGUGAGCGAAGAAGGACUUCGGGACGUAAAGCUCUAUCAGCAGGGAAGAAAAUGACGGUACUUGAGGAAGAAGCCCCGGCUAACUACGUGCCAGCAGCCGCGGUAAUACGUAGGGGGCUAGCGUUAUCCGGAUUUACUGGGCGUAAAGGGAGCGUAGGUGGUUGCUAAGGUCAGAGGUGAAAGGCUCAGGCUAAACCGUAGUAAGCCUUUGAAAAUGGGGAACUUGAGUGCAGGAGAGGAGAGCGGAAUUCCUAGUGUAGCGGUGAAAUGCGUAGAUAUUAGGAGGAACACCAGUUGCGAAGGCGGCUUUCUGGACUGUAACUGACGCUGAGGCACGAAAGCGUGGGGAGCAAACAGGAUUAGAUACCCGUGUAGUC